CCUACGGGUGGCUGCAGUAGGGAAUCUUUCACAAUGGGCGAAAGCCUGAUGGAGCAACGCCGCGUGCAGGAUGAAGGCCUUCGGGUUGUAAACUACUUUUAUCAGCGAGAAAUAUGAUGGUAACUUAUGACUCCGGCUCGGCUAACUACGUGCCAGCAGCCGCGGUCAUACGUAGGAUCCGAGCAUUAUCCGGAGUGACUGGGUGUAAAGAGUUGCGUAGGUGGCAUAAUAAGUAGCUAGUGAAAUCGGGUGGCUCAACCAUUCAGACUAUUAGCUAAACUGUUAAGCUCGAGACCGUUAGGGGUAACUGGAAUUUCUAGUGUAGGAGUGAAAUCCGUAGAUAUUAGAAGGAACACCAAUAGCGUAGGCAGGUUACUGGGACGGGUCUGACACUAAGGCACGAAAGCGUAGGGAGCAAACGGGAUUAGAUACCCGUGUAGUC
RNAcentral lists this ribosomal RNA (442 nucleotides) under uncultured bacterium. RNAcentral's name for it is "partial 16S ribosomal RNA". It matches the Rfam family "Bacterial small subunit ribosomal RNA", at positions 338 to 795 of the family's 1533-position model. The record is from RNAcentral.